GCGCGAAAACUUUACAAUGCGGGAAACCGUGAUAAGGGAACCCCGAGUGCCCGUAGAAUCGGGCUGUUGAUCUGUGUAAAAAAGCAGGUAAAGAAAGGGCCGGGCAAGACCGGUGCCAGCCGCCGCGGUAAUACCGGCGGCUCGAGUGGUGGCCACUAUUACUGGGCUUAAAGCGUUCGUAGCUGGGUUGUUAAGUCUCUUGGGAAAUCCACCGGCUCAACCGAUGGGCGACCAGGGGAAACUGGCAUUCUAGGGACCGGGAGAGGUGAGAGGUACUCCAGGGGUAGGAGUGAAAUCCUGUAAUCCUUGGGGGACCACCGAUGGCGAAGGCAUCUCACCAGAACGGCUCCGACAGUGAGGAACGAAAGCUGGGGGAGCAAACCGGAUUAGAUACCCCAGU
Molecule: ribosomal RNA, 400 nt
Filed under: uncultured bacterium
Lineage: Bacteria
Description: bacterial SSU rRNA
Rfam family: Archaeal small subunit ribosomal RNA
Source: RNAcentral